AGAGUUUGAUCCUGGCUCAGAAUCAACGCUGGCGGCGUGCCUCAGACAUGCAAGUCGAACGCGAAAGUUUCCUUUCGGGGAGACGAGUGGAGUGGCGCACGGGUGAGUAACACGUGGGUAAUUUACCUUCGGAUGGGGAAUAACAACCGGAAACGGUUGCUAAUACCGCAUAAUGCAGCGGCUCGACAUCGAGACAGUUGUUAAAGCGGGGGAUCGCAAGACCUCGCGUCUGAAGAGAAGCCUGCGGCGGAUUAGCUAGUUGGUGAGGUAAUGGCUCACCAAGGCUACGAUCCGUAACCGGCCUGAGAGGGCGGUCGGUCACACUGACACUGACAUACGGGUCAGACUCCUACGGGAGGCAGCAGUCGGGAAUUUUGGGCAAUGGGCGAAAGCCUGACCCAGCAACGCCGCGUGAAGGAUGAAAUCCCUCGGGAUGUAAACUUCGCAAGAACGGGAAGAAUAAGCGCGGGCUAAUAUCCUGCGUGAUGACGGUGCCGUUUGUAAGCUCCGGCUAACUCCGUGCCAGCAGCCGCGGUAAUACGGGGGGAGCAAGCGUUGUUCGGAUUUACUGGGCGUAAAGGGCGCGUAGGCGGUCGUGACAAGUCACUUGUGAAAUCUCCGGGCUUAACUCGGAYRGGUCAAGUGAUACUGUCGGGCUAGAGUGCGGAAGGGGCAACUGGAAUUCUCGGUGUAGCGGUGAAAUGCGUAGAUAUCGAGAGGAACACCUGCGGCGAAGGCGGGUUGCUGGGCCGACACUGACGCUGAGGCGCGAAAGCCAGGGGAGCGAACGGGAUUAGAUACCCNNGUAGUCC
RNAcentral lists this ribosomal RNA (812 nucleotides) under uncultured bacterium. RNAcentral's name for it is "bacterial SSU rRNA". It matches the Rfam family "Bacterial small subunit ribosomal RNA", at positions 8 to 796 of the family's 1533-position model. The record is from RNAcentral.